AGUGAACGCUGGCGGUAUGCCUAACACAUGCAAGUCGAACGGUAGCACAGUAAUAUCGUGCUCUGGCUGGGUGCGAGUGGCGUACGGGUCAGGAAUGCAUCCUACUCUACUCUUUCGUGGGAGGUAACGAAACGGAACUUACUCUAAUACCUCAUACGACCUACGGGUGAAAGCAGGUGAUCUUGGUACCUUGCGCGAGGGAAUGAGCCGAGGUCGGCUUAGCUAGUUGGCGGGGUAUAGGCCCACAAAGGCGCCGAUGCGUGGCUGGUCUGCGGGCAUGAGCAGCCGACCUGGAACUGAGACACUGUCCAGCCUCCUACGGGAGGCAGCAGUGGAGAAUAUUGGACAAUGGGAGCAAGCCUGAUACAGCAAUACCGCGUGGGUGAGGAAGGCCUUCGGGUUGUAAAGUCCUUUUGUUGGGAAAGAAAAGCAGCAGGUUAAUCACCCGUUGUUCUGACGGUAGCGAAAGAAUAAGCACCGGCUAACUACGUG
Molecule: ribosomal RNA, 492 nt
Filed under: uncultured bacterium
Lineage: Bacteria
Description: partial 16S ribosomal RNA
Rfam family: Bacterial small subunit ribosomal RNA
Source: RNAcentral